RNAcentral lists this ribosomal RNA (1343 nucleotides) under uncultured bacterium. RNAcentral's name for it is "16S ribosomal RNA". It matches the Rfam family "Bacterial small subunit ribosomal RNA", at positions 28 to 1378 of the family's 1533-position model. The record is from RNAcentral.
GACGAACGCUGGCUGCGUGCUUAACACAUGCAAGUCGAACGGAAAGGCCCUGCUUUUGUGGGGUGCUCGAGUGGCGAACGGGUGAGUAACACGUGAGUAACCUGCCCUUGACUUUGGGAUAACUUCAGGAAACUGGGGCUAAUACCGGAUAGGAGCUCCUGCUGCAUGGUGGGGGUUGGAAAGUUUCGGCGGUUGGGGAUGGACUCGCGGCUUAUCAGCUUGUUGGUGGGGUAGUGGCUUACCAAGGCUUUGACGGGUAGCCGGCCUGAGAGGGUGACCGGCCACAUUGGGACUGAGAUACGGCCCAGACUCCUACGAGAGGCAGCAGUGGGGAAUAUUGCACAAUGGGCGGAAGCCUGAUGCAGCAACGCCGCGUGCGGGAUGACGGCCUUCGGGUUGUAAACCGCUUUCGCCUGUGACGAAGCGUGAGUGACGGUAAUGGGUAAAGAAGCACCGGCUAACUACGUGCCAGCAGCCGCGGUGAUACGUAGGGUGCGAGCGUUGUCCGGAUUUAUUGGGCGUAAAGGGCUCGUAGGUGGUUGAUCGCGUCGGAAGUGUAAUCUCGGGGCUUAACCCUGAGCGUGCUUUCGAUACGGGUUGACUUGAGGAAGGUAGGGGAGAAUGGAAUUCCUGGUGGAGCGGUGGAAUGCGCAGAUAUCAGGAGGAACACCAGUGGCGAAGGCGGUUCUCUGGGCCUUUCCUGACGCUGAGGAGCGAAAGCGUGGGGAGCGAACAGGCUUAGAUACCCUGGUAGUCCACGCUGUAAACGGUGGGUACUAGGUGUGGGGUCCAUUCCACGGGUUCCGUGCCGUAGCUAACGCUUUAAGUACCCCGCCUGGGGAGUACGGCCGCAAGGCUAAAACUCAAAGGAAUCGACGGGGCCCCGCACAAGCGGCGGAGCAUGCGGAUUAAUUCGAUGCAACGCGUAGAACCUUACCUGGGUUUGACAUGGAUCGGGAGUGCUCAGAGAUGGGUGUGCCUCUUUUGGGGUCGGUUCACAGGUGGUGCAUGCCUGUCGUCAGCUCGUGUCGUGAGAUGUUGGGUUAAGUCCCGCAACGAGCGCAACCCUUGUUCACUGUUGCCAGCACGUUAUGGUGGGGACUCAGUGGAGACCGCCGGGGUCAACUCGGAGGAAGGUGGGGAUGACGUCAAGUCCUCAUGCCCCUUAUGUCCAGGGCUUCACGCAUGCUACAAUGGCUGGUACAGAGAGUGGCGAGCCUGUGAGGGUGAGCGAAUCUCGGAAAGCCGGUCUCAGUUCGGAUUGGGGUCUGCAACUCGACCUCAUGAAGUCGGAGUCGCUAGUAAUCGCAGAUCAGCAACGCUGCGGUGAAUACGUUCCCGGG